This 118-nucleotide ribosomal RNA is filed under the name Rhinopithecus roxellana (golden snub-nosed monkey). Lineage: Eukaryota; Metazoa; Chordata; Mammalia; Primates; Cercopithecidae. The record is from RNAcentral.
GUCUAUGGCCACACCACACUGAAUGCGCCUGAUCUCGUCUGAUCUCAGAAGCUAAACAGGGUCGGGCCUGGUUAGUACUUGAUGGGAGACUGCAUGGGACUACUGGGUGCUGUAGGCU